GCCCUUGUAGCUCAGUGGUAGAGCGGCUGCCUCGUAAGCAGCAGGUCCAGGGUUCAAGUCCCUGCAAGGGCU
This 72-nucleotide transfer RNA is filed under the name Candidatus Woesearchaeota archaeon. RNAcentral's name for it is "tRNA-Thr". It matches the Rfam family "tRNA". From Rfam's summary of the family: Transfer RNA (tRNA) molecules are approximately 80 nucleotides in length. Their secondary structure includes four short double-helical elements and three loops (D, anti-codon, and T loops). The record is from RNAcentral. Lineage: Archaea; Nanobdellati; Candidatus Woesearchaeota.